Molecule: transfer RNA, 71 nt
Filed under: Dreissena polymorpha
Lineage: Eukaryota; Metazoa; Mollusca; Bivalvia; Myida; Dreissenidae
Rfam family: tRNA
About the family: Transfer RNA (tRNA) molecules are approximately 80 nucleotides in length. Their secondary structure includes four short double-helical elements and three loops (D, anti-codon, and T loops).
Source: Rfam by way of RNAcentral
GUAUCGGUGGUUAAGUGGUAGAAUGCCCGCCUACCAUGUGGGCUGUACGGGUUCGAUUCCCGUCCGAUGCA